ACACAGAGAGUCAGGGCCAGCCAAAUGGAAAUUGUCUGCUCAUAGGAGAAGCCCCGGGGCCAUACUCUGAAAGAGGUAGCUUGGCGACAGACAAAUUUUCUAAGAGAGACAGUAUGGGGAGAAGAAAAGGCAAAGGUCCAAGACUCAAAAAAUGAAUGAAUGUUAAAACAUCAGAAGAGCAAGAUAAACGAGUUAAGAAGAUGGCACAGGAGCCGCAGAGAGGUGGAAGAUGGCUUGGAAGAGUGAAAACAGUUUUGCUGAGGACAGGUAAGGCUGAAGUAGGUGCAUCUGAGAAAAAGGGCAGAGACCUCCCCAAAGGUCAAACAGAAGCAAGGCAGCAGGCAGCAUUGCAGGGGAGGCAACUGCUGGGAAAGACACAGCAAGGAAGAGCUAUUAUGGGAUGCCUCUCUGUGAGGAGAGAUGAGGUGGGGAUGGUCCAUGAAGAUGAAUGACUGCUUCCUAAGACACUGUGGCGAGGAGGCUGUGGAAAGAUGGCAGCAGCAGACUGUGGAGAGAAGUCAAUUCACUGUGAGUGGUCAGACAAUACCUGAACCAAGAAGACACAUGGGACAACCUCUUGGGAACAGAAAGUUCAGAAAAGGGCUAAGAAAUAGGAUGGAGAUAGGGAUACUCAAUGAUCUAGUCAUAAGGGAUCAAAAUGGGAAUGCAAUUAGGAAGUAGAAGGCCUGAGAUAGACAGCAGCCACUGGGAUUGGAAGCAAUUUUAGGAUGAUUUCCCAAAGGGUAGAGAUGUUCCAACAAUAGCUUGAUGAUAAAUUUUGUAUUUUUUCAGGGCAGCUUGGCACUUCCCCAGGUAAUCCAUUCUCAGAGUUUCUGUUCAAUCAAAAACUGUAGCUUCUUUGGUUUAGGAGUUUCCUGAGCCUGUCUCAGGGCAAUAACGCCUUCUGGGUUAACUGGAGACUUCGUCAGAGACAGAUGGGAGCUAACUCCAAAGAGUCAUCAUGAUAACUGCGGUUGUUCAGAUUCUUUAUUUCUGGGCAUCACAUAGAAUUUAGAUUGGGACUCCUUUUCUAUCUAACUGAGGGAUGGGAAUCAUAAUUGCAUAUUUAAUUUUGUCAUUAGAA
This 1084-nucleotide long non-coding RNA is filed under the name Homo sapiens (human). Its description in RNAcentral is "HSALNT0127475". Lineage: Eukaryota; Metazoa; Chordata; Mammalia; Primates; Hominidae. The record is from RNAcentral.